RNAcentral lists this ribosomal RNA (156 nucleotides) under Aspergillus tubingensis. Its description in RNAcentral is "5.8S ribosomal RNA". It matches the Rfam family "5.8S ribosomal RNA". Rfam says of the family: 5.8S ribosomal RNA (5.8S rRNA) is a component of the large subunit of the eukaryotic ribosome. It is transcribed by RNA polymerase I as part of the 45S precursor that also contains 18S and 28S rRNA. The record is from RNAcentral. Lineage: Eukaryota; Fungi; Ascomycota; Eurotiomycetes; Eurotiales; Aspergillaceae.
AACUUUCAACAAGGGAUCUCUUGGUUCCGGCAUCGAUGAAGAACGCAGCGAAAUGCGAUAACUAAUGUGAAUUGCAGAAUUCAGUGAAUCAUCGAGUCUUUGAACGCACAUUGCGCCCCCUGGUAUUCCGGGGGGCAUGCCUGUCCGAGCGUCAUU